RNAcentral lists this ribosomal RNA (475 nucleotides) under uncultured bacterium. Its description in RNAcentral is "bacterial SSU rRNA". It matches the Rfam family "Bacterial small subunit ribosomal RNA", at positions 39 to 507 of the family's 1533-position model. The record is from RNAcentral.
AGCGGCAGGCUUAACACAUGCAAGUCGAGGGGCAGCACGGGUAGCAAGUACCUGGUGGCGACCGGCGCAAGGGUGCGUAACGCGUGAGCAACAUGCCCUAUACAGGGGGAUAAUCCAGGGAAACUUGGUCUAAUAUCCCAUAGUAUUUAGAGGAGGCAUCUUCUAUAAAUUAAAGCUUCGGUGGUAUAGGAUUGGCUCGCGUGACAUUAGCUAGAUGGUGAGGUAACGGCUCACCAUGGCAAUGAUGUCUAGGGGUUCUGAGAGGAAGGCCCCCCACACUGGGACUGAGACACGGCCCAGACUCCUACGGGAGGCAGCAGUGAGGAAUAUUGGACAAUGGAUGGAAAUCUGAUCCAGCCAUGCCGCGUGCAGGAAGACAGCCCUAUGGGUUGUAAACUGCUUUUAUAUGGGAGCAAUAAGGUCUACGUGUAGACUGAUGAGAGUACCAUAUGAAUAAGCAUCGGCUAACUCCGUG